Long non-coding RNA from Synchiropus splendidus (mandarinfish), 222 nucleotides. RefSeq lists it as uncharacterized. The transcript is spliced from 3 exons. The record is from RefSeq and is a predicted model, not a curated record. NCBI's taxonomy places the organism in Eukaryota, Metazoa, Chordata, Actinopteri, Syngnathiformes, Callionymidae.
CAUUUGUUUGGGUUGAGGAGGACGAGGAAGGGAAUCCUAUCCCAAAGAGGAGGAGAACAGGGAAGAAGCGGGCAAAGAGUUCAUCCUCAGGUGAGAGACAAUGGUCAAUUGUCAAUUGGGUCAAUGAGUCCUCACAUAUUGCACCCACCCAGUGAAUACAUCCUACUGCGUGGAUCCUCUACUACACUUGGACGGUGACUUCUGGGAGCAUGCACUCAUUGC